RNAcentral lists this ribosomal RNA (465 nucleotides) under Vreelandella stevensii. RNAcentral describes it as "partial 16S ribosomal RNA". It matches the Rfam family "Bacterial small subunit ribosomal RNA", at positions 338 to 795 of the family's 1533-position model. Lineage: Bacteria; Pseudomonadati; Pseudomonadota; Gammaproteobacteria; Oceanospirillales; Halomonadaceae. The record is from RNAcentral.
CCUACGGGGGGCUGCAGUGGGGAAUAUUGGACAAUGGGCGAAAGCCUGAUCCAGCCAUGCCGCGUGUGUGAAGAAGGCCUUCGGGUUGUAAAGCACUUUCAGUGGGGAAGAAAGCCUUGGGGCUAAUACCCUCGAGGAAGGACAUCACCCACAGAAGAAGCACCGGCUAACUCCGUGCCAGCAGCCGCGGUAAUACGGAGGGUGCGAGCGUUAAUCGGAAUUACUGGGCGUAAAGCGCGCGUAGGCGGUCUGAUAAGCCGGUUGUGAAAGCCCCGGGCUCAACCUGGGAACGGCAUCCGGAACUGGCAGGCUAGAGUGCAGGAGAGGAAGGUAGAAUUCCCGGUGUAGCGGUGAAAUGCGUAGAGAUCGGGAGGAAUACCAGUGGCGAAGGCGGCCUUCUGGACUGACACUGACGCUGAGGUGCGAAAGCGUGGGUAGCAAACAGGAUUAGAUACCCGUGUAGUC